AACGAACGCUGGCGGCGUGCCUAACACAUGCAAGUCGUGCGAGAAAGUUCCUUCGGGAGCGAGUAAAGCGGCGCACGGGUGAGUAACACGUAGGUAACCUGCCCCCCAGUCUGGAACAACUAGAGGAAACUCUAGCUAAUGCCGGAUGAGACCACGAUCCCUUCGGGGGUUGCGGCCAAAGAUGGCCUCUACUUGUAAGCUAUCGCUGAGGGAUGGGCCUGCGGGCCAUUAGCUUGUUGGUGAGGUAACGGCUCACCAAGGCUGUGAUGGCUAGCUGGUCCGAGAGGAUGACCAGCCACACUGGGACUGAGACACGGCCCAGACUCCUACGGGAGCAGCAGUGGGGAAUAUUGCGCAAUGGGCGAAAGCCUGACGCAGCGACGCCGCGUGGGUGAUGAAGGCCU
RNAcentral lists this ribosomal RNA (404 nucleotides) under uncultured bacterium. RNAcentral's name for it is "bacterial SSU rRNA". It matches the Rfam family "Bacterial small subunit ribosomal RNA", at positions 29 to 417 of the family's 1533-position model. The record is from RNAcentral.